Molecule: ribosomal RNA, 653 nt
Filed under: Clostridium sp. Nan 029
Lineage: Bacteria; Bacillati; Bacillota; Clostridia; Eubacteriales; Clostridiaceae
Description: bacterial SSU rRNA
Rfam family: Bacterial small subunit ribosomal RNA
Source: RNAcentral
AACCCUGACGCAGCAACGCCGCGUGGGUGAUGAAGGUCUUCGGAUUGUAAAGCCCUGUUUUCUGGGACGAUAAUGACGGUACCAGAGGAGGAAGCCACGGCUAACUACGUGCCAGCAGCCGCGGUAAUACGUAGGUGGCGAGCGUUGUCCGGAUUUACUGGGCGUAAAGGGUGCGUAGGCGGAUGUUUAAGUGGGAUGUGAAAUCCCCGGGCUUAACCUGGGGGCUGCAUUCCAAACUGGAUAUCUAGAGUGCAGGAGAGGAAAGCGGAAUUCCUAGUGUAGCGGUGAAAUGCGUAGAGAUUAGGAAGAACACCAGUGGCGAAGGCGGCUUUCUGGACUGUAACUGACGCUGAGGCACGAAAGCGUGGGUAGCAAACAGGAUUAGAUACCCUGGUAGUCCACGCCGUAAACGAUGGAUACUAGGUGUAGGGGGUAUCAACUCCCUCUGUGCCGCAGUUAACACAAUAAGUAUCCCGCCUGGGGAGUACGGUCGCAAGAUUAAAACUCAAAGGAAUUGACGGGGGCCCGCACAAGCAGCGGAGCAUGUGGUUUAAUUCGAAGCAACGCGAAGAACCUUACCUGGACUUGACAUCCCUUGCAUAGCCUAGAGAUAGGUGAAGCCCUUCGGGGCAAGGAGACAGGUGGUGCAUGGU